CUAUAGUGAUGUUUCUGCUUUUGCUUCUAUCAAAAUCCCAAGUUAGACAGAAAAAGAUGAAGGGUCUUGCUCUGUCACGCAGGGUGAAAUGCAGUGGAACCAUCAUGACUCACUACAGCUUCAGCCUCCCAGACUCAAGUGAUCCUCCCACCUCAGCUUGUUGAGUAGAUGGGACUACAGAUGCACAUCACCAUGCCCAGCUAACUUUUUAUUUUUUGCAGAAGCAGGAUCUCACCAUAUUUUCCAGGCUGGUAUCUAACUUCUGGGCUCAAGUGAUCUACCUAACUUGGCCUCCCAAAGUGCUGGAUUAUAGGCAUGAACCACCAUGACCUGAUGAAAGAAAUUUUUUUAAACCAAACUGUUUUACCCAAAAUUUUAAUCCAGAGCUUUCAUUAGAUGACAUAUCAGAGAAAAUAAAGUUGAGCCAUAUAAACAUGUCUCUUUUAG
This 447-nucleotide long non-coding RNA is filed under the name Homo sapiens (human). Its description in RNAcentral is "HSALNT0312901". Lineage: Eukaryota; Metazoa; Chordata; Mammalia; Primates; Hominidae. The record is from RNAcentral.